This 93-nucleotide transfer RNA is filed under the name Roseateles sp. SL47. RNAcentral's name for it is "tRNA-Sec". It matches the Rfam family "Selenocysteine transfer RNA". The record is from RNAcentral. Lineage: Bacteria; Pseudomonadati; Pseudomonadota; Betaproteobacteria; Burkholderiales; Sphaerotilaceae.
GGAGGGGGAACGAUCCCGGUGGAUCGGCCAGGCUUCAAACCUGGUGGGUGGCGCCAUGCGUUGCCGGGUAGGUUCGACUCCCACCCCCCUCCG